UAAUAGCAUUUGACUGAGCCCUUGUGUUGU
Molecule: non-coding RNA, 30 nt
Filed under: Rattus norvegicus (Norway rat)
Lineage: Eukaryota; Metazoa; Chordata; Mammalia; Rodentia; Muridae
Source: RNAcentral